Molecule: ribosomal RNA, 482 nt
Filed under: uncultured bacterium
Lineage: Bacteria
Description: partial 16S ribosomal RNA
Rfam family: Bacterial small subunit ribosomal RNA
Source: RNAcentral
AUUGAACGCUGGCGGCAUGCCUUACACAUGCAAGUCGAACGGUAACAGGUCUUCGGAUGCUGACGAGUGGCGAACGGGUGAGUAAUACAUCGGAACGUGCCCAGACGUGGGGGAUAACGAGGCGAAAGCUUUGCUAAUACCGCAUACGAUCUAAGGAUGAAAGCAGGGGACCGCAAGGCCUUGUGCGUUUGGAGCGGCCGAUGGCAGAUUAGGUAGUUGGUGGGAUAAAAGCUUACCAAGCCGACGAUCUGCAGCUGGUCUGAGAGGACGACCAGCCACACUGGGACUGAGACACGGCCCAGACUCCUACGGGAGGCAGCAGUGGGGAAUUUUGGACAAAGGGCGAAAGCCUGAUCCAGCAAUGCCGCGUGCAGGAUGAAGGCCUUCGGGUUGUAAACUGCUUUUGUACGGAACGAAAAGGCUCUGGCUAAUACCUGGGGCACAUGACGGUACCGUAAGAAUAAGCACCGGCUAACUACGUG